RNAcentral lists this ribosomal RNA (831 nucleotides) under Cordyceps fumosorosea. RNAcentral describes it as "LSU rRNA". It matches the Rfam family "Eukaryotic large subunit ribosomal RNA", at positions 77 to 940 of the family's 3401-position model. The record is from RNAcentral. Lineage: Eukaryota; Fungi; Ascomycota; Sordariomycetes; Hypocreales; Cordycipitaceae.
GCCCCAGUAACGGCGAGUGAAGCGGCAACAGCUCAAAUUUGAAAUCUGGCCCUCGGGUCCGAGUUGUAAUUUGUAGAGGAUGCUUUUGGCGAGGUGCCUUCCGAGUUCCCUGGAACGGGACGCCAUAGAGGGUGAGAGCCCCGUCUGGUCGGACACCGAGCCUCUGUAAAGCUCCUUCGACGAGUCGAGUAGUUUGGGAAUGCUGCUCAAAAUGGGAGGUAUAUGUCUUCUAAAGCUAAAUAUUGGCCAGAGACCGAUAGCGCACAAGUAGAGUGAUCGAAAGAUGAAAAGCACUUUGAAAAGAGGGUUAAAAAGUACGUGAAAUUGUUGAAAGGGAAGCGCCUAUGACCAGACUUGAGCCCGGUGAAUCAUCCAGCGUUCUCGCUGGUGCACUUUGCCGGGCCCAGGCCAGCAUCAGUUUGGCGCGGGGGAUAAAGGUGACGGGAAUGUGGCUCCCUCGGGAGUGUUAUAGCCCGCUACGUAAUACCCUGCGCCGGACUGAGGUACGCGCAUUGCAAGGAUGCUGGCGUAAUGGUCAUCAGCGACCCGUCUUGAAACACGGACCAAGGAGUCGUCUUCGUAUGCGAGUGUUCGGGUGUCAAACCCCUACGCGUAAUGAAAGUGAACGCAGGUGAGAGCUUCGGCGCAUCAUCGACCGAUCCUGAUGUUCUCGGAUGGAUUUGAGUAAGAGCAUACGGGGCCGGACCCGAAAGAAGGUGAACUAUGCCUGUAUAGGGUGAAGCCAGAGGAAACUCUGGUGGAGGCUCGCAGCGGUUCUGACGUGCGAAUCGAUCGUCAAAUAUGGGCAUGGGGGCGAAAGACUAAUCGAAC